CAAACAUGGCGCUUACGGACUCGAAAUUAAGUGGGAAUGGUUUUCUGCUGCCUUAGUAUUUGAUGGUCGUGCUCUAGCAAUUGUAGUUUUCAAGUGUGAUUGAUUUUGUUGAAAAAAAUGAGUUGUGCAUUACUGAGGGUAGAGGAUGUCUGAUGUGGACCGCGAGAGACUCGCGGUGCCUCCAGCUCAUAGUGUUUUCUCUCAACAUACUAACACCGGUAGUUAUAGUGGCACGAGCAUUGCUGGCACUUCUGCUGCACCUCCGUUUGCACCACGUCCCCAUUAUGGGCAACAAGUUCGGCAGCAGCAUCAACAAAGAUUGCACAGCACUGCUGCUUCUAGUCGAAGUGGAGCAACUUCUGCCCAUACAGAUCGCAUUCCACCAUCAGCAGUUUCAGGAGCAUCAUCUGCUUCCUCUACAGAAUGCAAUAUCCACGAAGUUUGCUACUAUUUCCAACAAGCAAUUUUUAUAUUGGCCAUCAUGACAGGAGUUGCGCUCGUCAUAGCGGGCGCUGUCAUGCAUGUUCAAAAUGGAGAGCUUCUGGUGCUUGUGUACAUAGGUGUCCUUCUUGGUGCUGUCAACACUGUGUUACUGACAAUACAGUGCUGUGUCCGGCGCAAACAAAAGAAACGUUCAAGGGCAUACCGUGCCACUCGUCCUCCUCAGGGACCUCCUUCAUCUGCGCCUUCUAGUGCUGUUGUUCGUUAUGAUCCUCUCAGUAAUCCUCUGCUUUCAACCACUCAGACUGUACCUUCUGCUGAAGUCCAACAGUAUCAUUAUAAGCACUACCACAUACAUUCGCAGAAUGUAGCACAAACUCCUUUUCAAGAUUUCCCAGUGCAACAAGGGGUUUUUGCACAAUCGCCUACUGAAUCUUCUCAGACUCGCUUUCAUCAUGGGGUGCCAUACCAUAGGUCAGGAUCAAUGGUUAUGCAUCAUAGACAUGCCAAAGGAAUGUAUCAAAAGUCUCCUCCACUGGGACAAGUGCACAGACCUCUCCUCAAUACAUUAGGACCCCAAAAAGCAAAUGUAAGAUCUGAAAUGUGUCCCCAAGAGCCGACUGCACCUCCUCCAAGUUACGAAGACCUACUGCGUACUGGCCGCCUGACACAAGAUGGCACGACAGUUCAUUUGAUCUGAAGUUCAUUCCAGCAGGUUCUGUUUUUCAUAAACAUAUCAGAAUCAUUCCCUGAUAAGCUCAGAUUGUACAUGUUAUAGCUUUUUAUUAUUAUUAUUGUAGGGCAAAACAUAGGAGGCUGUCUUCCGAAGGAGUGGAUGGCUUUAUUAAAAAAUUUCUGAGGGAAACUGGCUCUUGCUCACAUUAUGCAUGGAGAAACCAACCAUGCAGCUGCCCUGUUUGCUUGUGAUCGAACAUACGUUAAACUCCCACUAUUCAGCAGUCUUGCAGUGGAAGGAGAUGCUGUAAAAUUUCUGCAGGAAUACUGUAGUUUGCAAGGAUGUUAGAAUAGGAGGAGAGAUGAUUCGCAGUUUCUUCCACUAUCUGAAAAUAAAACCUACCUAGCAAGUGGCAGCCAUGUUUGUGAACUUAAAGUGCUGCUUUAUGCCAAUAAAACAUACAUAUUUCUACAGUAUUCUAUCAAUGUGUUUUCCCUAUAAAUAUAUAUUGAAUUUAUAAUGAAAUCCCUUGCUUUUGUUAAAUUUUUGUUUUUUCAAGAUGAUAUCUAUAAUUUACAAUGUACAGAAAAUUAUCAAGAAAUAGUGCAGGAUCUAAAUGCAUAUAUAUAAUAUUAAAGCCUUGAAAAUGAUGUUUCUGCAUAUUUCAAGGAUUUGUUUGGUUUUAUUAGGUACCUGUUAGGUGUACUUUCCAAUUAUUGCUUUAAAAACAGAUUUUUUUUUAAUUCUAAAUAUCAUAAUAUAUCAAUGAAUCAUAUUAUAUAAAAUUGUUUUAGGAAUAGGGAAGAAAGUUAUUUUAAUAUGCUUAAUAGGUUGUUGUUGCUUUGGGUUGUAAUAUGCUGAAACAGAAAGUCACAUAUUUUUUAUUGACAAUGUUAUUUAAAUAGCUCAUUAUCCAAGCUAAUUCAUAUUUAUGAAGCUCGAUUAAAGAAAUUACCUUGAAUUAAGCUGAAUUGCAGAAAUAUAUUUACGUAAAUUUUUGGAUAUGUCUAUUCUAACAUAUUCAGUUAUGGUAAAUAUUUUACUUGUUUUUAUCACUAGAAAUUUAUAAGCUUAUGCAAACAAUUUUUAACAACACAACAGUUUAUCUUGAUCAAAUGCACAAAUUAUAUUCAUAACCAGGGCUGUGGAGUCUGUAGAGAAAAUGGCCAACUCUGACUCCUUGAAUUUUAAAGAUUUUUUGAUGUAGCAAAUUAUUUAUAUUAAUUAGCAUUUAUUAUGAAAUUGAAAAACUAGCAUUAGUUAUUUCUAAAAAACGGUAUAACUUCGGCAAGAUCUUCUGAUU
Molecule: unclassified non-coding RNA, 2420 nt
Filed under: Stegodyphus dumicola
Lineage: Eukaryota; Metazoa; Arthropoda; Arachnida; Araneae; Eresidae
Description: uncharacterized LOC118184015, transcript variant X3
Source: RNAcentral